Long non-coding RNA from Lemur catta (Ring-tailed lemur), 284 nucleotides. RefSeq lists it as uncharacterized. The record is from RefSeq and is a predicted model, not a curated record. Lineage: Eukaryota; Metazoa; Chordata; Mammalia; Primates; Lemuridae. The transcript is spliced from 3 exons.
GGACAACAAUCAGCACAGCCACAAACCAGGAAGAGCAAAGAGAUUUCAUCUUAAGGGCCAACUCUUGAUUCAAAGAGUCUCCUGGGUGCCAGACACUGUGCCUAGUUACUGGAGAAACAUCUCUCUCAUCUGAGAUACCAGACAUAUGAGAAAAGAAGCCAUCUUGGAUGGUCCAGCAGAUACCACAUAAAAUAGAAGAACCACCCAGCUGAGCCCAGUCCAAGGUGGCCAGAGGCAAACAUCGAUGGUCAGAUCCCCUGAGAACUCAUGUUCUUCUUCCAGAC